GAUAAACGCUGGCGGCGCACAUAAGACAUGCAAGUCGAACGGAAGUCGUUGUAAUGAUAUAGACAUGGACUGAGAACUUGUUCAAAGAAAGUGAAAGUUGACUUACAACAAUGGCUUUAGUGGCGGACUGGUGAGUAACACGUAAGCAACCUGCCUAUCAGAGGGGAACAACAGUUAGAAAUGACUGCUAAUACCGCAUAUGCCUAAGUACCACAUGGUACAAUAGGGAAAGGAGCAAUCUGCUGAUAGAUGGGCUUGCGUCUGAUUAGAUAGUUGGUGGGGUAACGGCCUACCAAGUCAACGAUCAGUAGCCGGACUGAGAGGUUGAACGGCCACAUUGGGACUGAGAUACGGCCCAGACUCCUACGGGAGGCAGCAGUCGGGAAUAUUGCGCAAUGGAGGAAACUCUGACGCAGUGACGCCGCGUGCAGGAAGAAGGUUUUCGGAUUGUAAACUGCUUUAGACAGGGAAGAAAUAAAGACAGUACCUGUAGAAUAAGCUCCGGCUAACUACGUGCCAGCAGCCGCGGUAAUACGUAGGGAGCGAGCGUUAUCCGGAUUUAUUGGGUGUAAAGGGUGCGUAGACGGGAAAUUAAGUUAGUUGUGAAAUCCCUCGGCUUAACUGAGGAACUGCAACUAAAACUGGUUUUCUUGAGUGCUGGAGAGGAAAGUGGAAUUCCUAGUGUAGCGGUGAUAUGCGUAGAUAUUAGGAGGAACACCAGUGGCGAAGGCGACUUUCUGGACAGUAACUGACGUUGAGGCACGAAAGUGUGGGGAGCAAACAGGAUUAGAUACCCUGGUAGUCCACACCGUAAACGAUGGAUACUAGGUGUAGGGUGUGAUAAACAUUCUGUGCCGUCGCAAACGCAAUAAGUAUCCCACCUGGGGAGUACGGCCGCAAGGUUGAAACUCAAAGGAAUUGACGGGGGCCCGCACAAGCAGUGGAGUAUGUGGUUUAAUUCGACGCAACGCGAAGAACCUUACCAGGGCUUGACAUAUACAGGAAUAUAUAAGAGAUUAUAUAGCUCUUCGGAGUCUGUAUACAGGUGGUGCAUGGUUGUCGUCAGCUCGUGUCGUGAGAUGUUGGGUUAAGUCCCGCAACGAGCGCAACCCCUGUUCUUAGUUGCCAGCACAUAAUGGUGGGAACUCUAAGAAGACUGCCGGUGAUAAAUCGGAGGAAGGUGGGGACGACGUCAAAUCAUCAUGCCCUUUAUGUCCUGGGCUACACACGUACUACAAUGGCUAUUACAGAGGGAAGCGAAGCCGCGAGGUGAAGCAAAACCCAAAAAAGUAGUCUCAGUUCGGAUUGAAGGCUGAAAUUCGCCUUCAUGAAGCCGGAAUUGCUAGUAAUGGCAGGUCAGCAUACUGCCGUGAAUACGUUCCCGGGCCUU
RNAcentral lists this ribosomal RNA (1390 nucleotides) under uncultured bacterium. RNAcentral's name for it is "bacterial SSU rRNA". It matches the Rfam family "Bacterial small subunit ribosomal RNA", at positions 28 to 1382 of the family's 1533-position model. The record is from RNAcentral.